Molecule: ribosomal RNA, 353 nt
Filed under: Vibrio parahaemolyticus
Lineage: Bacteria; Pseudomonadati; Pseudomonadota; Gammaproteobacteria; Vibrionales; Vibrionaceae
Description: bacterial LSU rRNA
Rfam family: Bacterial large subunit ribosomal RNA
Source: RNAcentral
GUUGUAUGGUUAAGUGACUAAGCGUACACGGUGGAUGCCUUGGCAGUCAGAGGCGAUGAAGGACGUAUUAACUUGCGAUAAGCCCAGAUUAGGCAGUAAAAGCCACUUGAGUCUGGGAUUUCCGAAUGGGGAAACCCAACUGCAUAAGCAGUUACUGUUAACUGAAUACAUAGGUUAACAGGGCGAACCGGGGGAACUGAAACAUCUAAGUACCCCGAGGAAAAGAAAUCAACCGAGAUUCCGAAAGUAGCGGCGAGCGAAAUUGGACUAGCCCUUAAGCUUUACACGCGUUAGACGAACGGUCUGGAAAGUCCGACGAUACAGGGUGAUAGUCCCGUAGUUGACGACGUGUG